UCGAGGAUCUUCGGCAAUGGGCGCAAGCCUGACCGAGCGACGCCGCGUGUGCGAUGAAGGCCUUCGGGUUGUAAAGCACUGUCGAGGGGGAGGAACGCCCGCAAGGGUCUGACCUAUCCCUGGAGGAAGCACGGGCUAAGUUCGUGCCAGCAGCCGCGGUAAGACGAACCGUGCGAACGUUGUUCGGAUUCACUGGGCUUAAAGGGCGCGUAGGCGGACGGUCAAGUCGGGGGUGAAAUCUUUCAGCUUAACUGGAAAAGUGCCUCCGAUACUGAUCGUCUCGAGGGAGGUAGGGGCAUGUGGAACUUCCGGUGGAGCGGUGAAAUGCGUAGAUAUCGGAAGGAACGCCGGUGGCGAAAGCGACGUGCUGGACCUCUUCUGACGCUGAGGCGCGAAAGCUAGGGGAGCAAACGGGAUUAGAUACCCGCGUAGUCC
This 435-nucleotide ribosomal RNA is filed under the name uncultured bacterium. RNAcentral describes it as "bacterial SSU rRNA". It matches the Rfam family "Bacterial small subunit ribosomal RNA", at positions 355 to 796 of the family's 1533-position model. The record is from RNAcentral.